CCUACGGGGGGCAGCAGUGAGGAAUAUUGGUCAAUGGGCGCGAGCCUGAACCAGCCAAGUCGCGUGAGGGAUGAAGGUACAGAGUAUCGUAAACCUCUUUUGUCAGGGAACAAAGGCGGGGACGCGUCCCCGGAUGAGUGUACCUGAAGAAAAAGCAUCGGCUAACUCCGUGCCAGCAGCCGCGGUAAUACGGAGGAUGCGAGCGUUAUCCGGAUUUAUUGGGUUUAAAGGGUGCGCAGGCGGUCUGUUAAGUCAGCGGUCAAAGCCCGGGGCUCAACCCCGGCCCGCCGUUGAAACUGGCAGUCUCGAGUUGGAGAGAAGUAUGCGGAAUGCGCGGUGUAGCGGUGAAAUGCAUAGAUAUCGCGCAGAACUCCGAUUGCGAAGGCAGCAUGCCGGCUCCACACUGACGCUGAGGCACGAAAGCGUGGGUAUCGAACAGGAUUAGAUACCCUAGUAGUC
Molecule: ribosomal RNA, 459 nt
Filed under: uncultured bacterium
Lineage: Bacteria
Description: partial 16S ribosomal RNA
Rfam family: Bacterial small subunit ribosomal RNA
Source: RNAcentral